UUAUACAUUUUUAAUUACGAUUUUUUACGACCUUUAACUCAUUCAAAAAUUUUUCUUGCCGAUAUAUAUCGGCAAGUAAAAUUUUUGAAUGAAUUAAAGGUCGUAAAAAAUCGUUGCAUUGCAAAUUAUAAAUGAUCGACUUGGCAAAUUAUUUAAUUCGACUUCUUCGUGGACACUUACGAAGGAAAUGCGAUUAUGAAAAAGUCAACAUAUAACAAGAUAUGUAUUUAGUAAAGAUAUAUUAAA
Hydra vulgaris (swiftwater hydra) is the source of this 246-nucleotide non-coding RNA. The record is from RefSeq and is a predicted model, not a curated record. Lineage: Eukaryota; Metazoa; Cnidaria; Hydrozoa; Anthoathecata; Hydridae.